Molecule: unclassified non-coding RNA, 831 nt
Filed under: Hevea brasiliensis (rubber tree)
Lineage: Eukaryota; Viridiplantae; Streptophyta; Magnoliopsida; Malpighiales; Euphorbiaceae
Source: RNAcentral
GGUAGUUAACAAGGAUUUCAUGUGACGUCUGAACCUCUUUUUACAAAGAUCAACCUGAAAAUGACUAAUGAAGAUUAUACAACCACAAAAAUUCUUGCAAAUCAUAGUACCUAUCAUUAUUAGUAACAUUAAAUCAUAAUUUGCAGAUGCAUCUGAAUUCUGAAGCAGGGAAGAUCAUAUGGAGCUUGCUGCAGAAGAGGUACCUUUCAUUAUGCUUUUUAGGUACUACAAUACUGUAACAAUCCCAAGGACAUCAACUAGAUCGACACGAACGAACAUAAUGCACACACAUUUGUUGGCUAUGGUUGAAAGAAUCUAAUAUGCAUUACCAGUGAGGAGCCCCACGGCUGUCAAGAAAAUGACUGAUGAGAACAGCGUUGGACAUGACAUGAAAAUAUCUACAUGGUAAAGAUGCAGCAUCAAGAAAAUGACCACCGACCUUAACAUUUGCAGAAAGAACACGACAGUGCAAGAAAUGGGAAAAGGGAAGUGGGAAAAAAAAAUCGAACCGACAUAGUUAUAUGGUACUUGAUUCGAAAAUCAACAUGUAAUUUGUGGUUCUUGCAACUUUGCAGCAACAUCAUGUCUAUUUCAACACAGCUUCUGGACAAUCUACAUUCAUUUGAGGCCAAAAAUGAAUUACAGGAGGCAGUUAACCAAUGAAUUAAAUGCAUAAAAAAACAGUGAUAGUCCAGGGGAAAAAUGGAAAAAGGGUCAAGAACCUUGAAACAAAUCAUGAUAGGGACAACCAGAUUCUGUCCAAGCCCUGCUGCAACCUAAGUACCUAACCAAGAUUAGAGAAAGAUUAAGAAGACAUGAUGUGCUGAAGGG